Molecule: long non-coding RNA, 459 nt
Organism: Oncorhynchus tshawytscha (Chinook salmon)
Lineage: Eukaryota; Metazoa; Chordata; Actinopteri; Salmoniformes; Salmonidae
Source: Ensembl
GUCCCGGUAGUCACAACAAUAGAUGGGUGUUGGUUAAAUGGUAGGUCCUGGUAGUCACAACAAUAGAUGGGUGUUGGUUAAAUGGUAGGUCCUGGUAGUCACAACAAUAGAUGGGGUGUUGGUUAAAUGGUAGGUCCUGGUAGUCACAACAAUAGAUGGGGUGUUGGUUAAAUGGUAGGUCCCGGUAGUCACAUUAAUAGAUGGGGUGUUGGUUAAAUUGUGAUUUUAAUGAAUGGAGAGAAUUUGGAGCCCAGUUUUUUUUUCUCCUGUGAGUGCAGAGCGGUUCGAAAGGUCAUGGAAGACCCUCUCUGCUGUGAGCGGGAUUUUCAACUGCUAAACUCUGUUCAUAUGGUCUGCCCUCCGCUGAGACUGACCAUCACAUGGAGGCACCAUCAGCCCAGUAAAAUCAAAAGCAAAUUAUUUGAAUGUGUGCUCACUCAGCUGUGCCUCACAAGUAAU